CAUUAUUUGUUUAGCUUUAAAAUAAGUAUAAAAUCAGCCUAUUUUCCUUCAUAUGGCCGGCCAAACAAAGAACAAAGAAGAACAAAAGGAGAAAAGAAAAACAAAAACCCUAGGUGAAGAAUUUCAAGAGAAAAGUGUGGGAAAUUCAAGGAAACAAGUGACAAAAGGUAAAAUUUCUUGAUUUUGACUUGUGAUCUACCUUUCCCAUGCAUUUCUCCUUAUUUUCCAUGGUUAAAUUUCAUGUUGUCAUGGUGAAUUCAUAGCUGGUCAAAAUGGGUAUGGAGAGAGAAAGAUGUUGGAUUGAUUUGAUUUUAAGUUAUGUUAGUGUUUUUAGUUAGUUUAGCAUAUUUAGAAACAAAACAACAAGAAAAAAAAUUCAUUUUCCCCCAUCACCAUCAUUGGCCGAAUUUUCUAGGGAGGAUAUUGUGGCUGAAAUUGAUGAUAUUUCAUGAUAUUUGGGUGAUAAUUGAUGUUUGGUGAGGCUAGAAAUUAAAUGGGAAAUUUUGGUGUGAAAAUUUGAAUUUUUCUCAACGUAUAGACAUGUGUGAUUAUUGACCCAGGACUGAUAAAUUGAAUCUCAUUCACAGUCACUGGGGUAAUUUAGGUAUAAUUGGAGUGUAGAAAGUGAGAAGAAUUAAUUUGGAGUUAAAUUGAAGAUUUUAGCUAAUUACAUCGAGAAUAGUGCGAAUUAGGUCGAAUACCGUAUUUAAACGGCUAUUCGGACAUUUUGCAUCACAUUUCGUGCAUUCAUAUAGAUUUAUAAAGCCUAAAAUAGUUUAUGAUAAAUUGACACAAGUUAUUGAAAUUCAUGUCACGUAUGAUGUAUAGGUGGUGAGCCUUCUAACAAGAGUAAAGAGAUUGUGCCCGAAGAUUGGGUAUAAGAGUAUAUCGAACUCUUAGUACUAUGAGUAACCUUAUCAUCAUUUUAAUUAUCUAAAGUAUGAUUUUAAU
Molecule: long non-coding RNA, 951 nt
Filed under: Theobroma cacao (cacao)
Lineage: Eukaryota; Viridiplantae; Streptophyta; Magnoliopsida; Malvales; Malvaceae
Description: long non-coding RNA (TCAC_LNC003767)
Source: RNAcentral